RNAcentral lists this ribosomal RNA (467 nucleotides) under uncultured bacterium. RNAcentral describes it as "partial 16S ribosomal RNA". It matches the Rfam family "Bacterial small subunit ribosomal RNA", at positions 28 to 507 of the family's 1533-position model. The record is from RNAcentral.
GACGAACGCUGGCGGCGUGCUAACACCUGCAAGUCCAACGGGAAGGGCCCUGUUUUUGGGGGUUCCCGGGUGGGGAAACGGUGAGUUAACAGGUAGGAAACUGGCCUUGACCUUUGGGUUACCUCAGGAAACCUGGGGCAAUUACCGAUAGGAGCUCCCGCCGCAUGGGGGGGGGUGGGAAGUUUCGGCGGGUGGGGAUGGACUCGCGGCUUAUCAGCUUGUUGGUGGGGUAGUGGCUUACCAAGGCUUUGACGGGUAGCCGGCCUGAGAGGGUGACCGGCCACAUUGGGACUGAGAUACGGCCCAGACUCCUACGGGAGGCAGCAGUGGGGAAUAUUGCACAAUGGGCGGAAGCCUGAUGCAGCAACGCCGCGUGCGGGAUGACGGCCUUCGGGUUGUAAACCGCUUUCGCCUGUGACGAAGCGUGAGUGACGGUAAUGGGUAAAGAAGCACCGGCUAACUACGUG